This 5158-nucleotide long non-coding RNA is filed under the name Populus tremula. RNAcentral's name for it is "long non-coding RNA (PTRE_LNC000470)". The record is from RNAcentral. Lineage: Eukaryota; Viridiplantae; Streptophyta; Magnoliopsida; Malpighiales; Salicaceae.
UUUUCAGAAACAAAUUAUUAUAAAGAGUAGCAUGACAUGUCAAGGCAGUGAUUCAUGAGUACUGACAUUUAAUUUAAUUUUUAUGCAAAAUAAAUUAAUAGAUGGGGUUGCUAAGACUGCGAAGGAGGUUAUUGAAGCUAUAGACGACGAGAAGCUGUCAACCACCUUCAAAGUGAUUGAGGGAGACAUGAUGACCACGGAGUACAAGAGUUUCACGGCUAUCGUUCAGGCUACUCCCAAGGGAGAGGGCAGCUGCUUGUCUCACUGGACUUUUGAAUAUGAGAAGCUAAAUGAGAACGUUCCAGACCCUCAAACGCUGCUUGAGUUUUGGAUCCAUUGCCUCAAAGACAUUGAGGAUCAUCACCUUACCCAGCUACCAACAGCACAGGCAUGAAUGAUCGGUUAGUAUCAUAUGCGUGCAUGCUGCUGCUGCUGUCUUUAAUUUAAAACGUACGACCGCCGGCGUGAAUGAAUAAUAAGAAGCGGUGUGGUGGGGACAGGCCCUUGUUCUUCUAUAUUAAUGUAUGUUAGUAUGUUAAUCUAUCAAUAAACUUGUGUACGUGGGGUCUACUGAAACUCUCUCUGCGUUGCCGUGUGAUUUCAUGUAAAAAGGGCUUUGUGUGAAGUUAAUGCAUGCUUCGAUGUGUGAUUCAAGAUGUUGAAAGUCUCUCCUCCUAUCAUUUUUUAUUCUUUUCAAAAUCAAGAUCGAUUGACAGACGAAAUCAAAUCCACAAGGCCAACCGACUUUUUAGCGUAUAAAAUUAAAAAAAAUCAAUCUAUAUAAACCAGCUAAGAACCUCCUUUGCUUGUGCCCUCAUGAAACCUUACUCUGCCGUUUCAAUCAGUUGUUUAGAAGUGGAAUAGUAGUUUUUAAAGUGAUUUUUAAUUUGAAAAUAUAUUAAAAUAAUAUUUUAUUAUUUUUUAAAAUAUUAUUUUUUAUAUUAGUAUAUUAGAACGUUUAAAAAUAUUAAAAAAUAAUUUAAAAUAAAAAAUAAAUAUUUUAAAAAAUACUUUUAAAACAUAAUAAAAAUCUCUCGAUAUAUAAAUACAAUUCAAAUCUGAAAAGUCCAAAUCUUACAAUCACUCCCACCGACUGCGAGUCCCAAAUACAAAUCCCUCGACCAUUAAAUUAUUGUGAAAGUGGAUGGAUGUGACUUUCACGUGUGAUUGCUUGCAUCUUCUCUUUAUUUUUGUAAUCUAUUUGCUUUAUUUUCUACUCUCUGUUUUUUUUUAAUUCCGUGAUCGGAACAUGAGAAUCCCGUACGAAAUUGGAUGGAUCUUAAUUUGAUUUCAUGAUGGAUUAAAUCGAAUUAAACAAUGUUUUAAGAUAAUUGAUGAAAACUUUCUUUUUAUCCAGGAAUUAAUGAUGUGGGGACAAAUAGUUUGUAAAAUUGAACCCAAAGUCUAAAUAUAUUAUUUAUUUCUCAAUUAUACAUUUCGUGGAUAAUAAAGAAGCAGUGCUCGAUGUGCGGUAGCUAUGAUCUGUACUAAUGGUAAGAAAAUGCCAUUCUAUCUUUGCUUGAACAUCCCCAAUUAUCUUACGUAUCCGAUACCCUAUUAAUUAAUUAAAUGUUCUUAAAUUUAUAAUCGAGAUAAAACACAAACAGCACCACCUUUACAGCAAUCGGUUUGAAUAAAUCCAAGGGCUAAGGUCACGCUACAUACACUUUUGAAAAAAAAUAAUACUUUAAAAAUAAUAAUAAUAAAUAUUUUUUUAAACAAAAAAUACUUUAAAAAAUAACUAUUUACACUCCUAAACAUCUCACAAUGUAAUGUAUAACUUUUAGUAGGAUAAUUAUAAAAAUACAUCAUACUGUAGAAAUAUGUAAUAAUGUUUUUCAUGAUAUAGACUUGCAAAGAAAAUAAUAGGCAAAUGCCUCGUAGACUGGAUAAAUCCAGGUUCUACGAUCUUGAAACUGAACAUAAUCCAGAGAUAAAUUAUUAAUCACGGAUCGAUGUUGGAAUCAUCAUUUUUUUAAUUUAUAUCACAACCUGUACAUAUGAGCCUCAAAAGGUGGUGGACCGCCAUUCGAGUCGGCGAGGCAUCCGUCGCUUACCCAACAGUCUCCGCACGAGUCCACUUCCCAGCCUUCAAGUCGUCCCUCCUGUGCACAUGAGCCUCAAAUAGGUGGUGGAUCGUCAUUUUUUUUUUAUAUCACAACCUGUACAUGUGAGCCUCAAAUAUUUGUGAUGAUUUUGAUUCUUGAGUACAGGGCUUACCAGAAUCCAGGAAAUAACCGGUUCCUUGCUCAUCAACGACACCACUUCGGUCUACAUCAGUGCCAAAAACAAUUAAAAACCUCAACAAUAAGUAAAAUAUAUUUAUUAAUUAUAAUUUAUGAAAUAAAAAUUACUUCCACUUAACAAAAGAAUUCAAAUAUAAAUUGAAGAUUACUCAGGACUCUACUUAUCAGAAUUAUAUAAAAAAUAAUAAAAUUAUUUCUUAAAUAUUUUAAAAAAUCAUUAUUUAUAAUCUUGCUUAAGGUAUUUAUUUACCUUAAGCCGACUCUGAUUCAAGUUGCAAUGGACAUAAAAGGAGUGAAUGAAAUGAUAGUCAAGUGUGUGUUCAGUUUGGGGAAGGAGGGUGGGUGGUGGGCUAUGAAAGUUUGAGUAUAUGGUUAUAAUAUCAGAGUUUUAAUUUUUAGGCUUGCUCAAAGUAAAGGAAUAUCUUUCAUUUUAAUAUAUUUUAAAUUUUAGUUUUUUUUUCAUUAAAAAGAAAAUAAAUUACUAGGACUUUUGUUAUGUUAUGUUGUACAGAAGUUGAGUGAUGGCUUUUUUUUUUUUUUUUGCUAUUUGAGAUUGAAUUGAAUUGUUUUUAUUAAAACAUGAUUGUUUUUGCAUUUUAAAAAUAUUUUUGAAAAUAUAUUUAUUUAUUUUUUAUUUUAAAUUAAUAUUUUUUGAUAUUUUUAUAUUAUUUUAAUGUACUAAUAUAAAAAAUAAAUUUUAAAAAAUAAAAAAUAUAUAUUUUAAAAAACAAUCUGUACUUAAUAAUCUACAUCUGAGACUUUUGUUAUUUUGUUCAAAAGUUCAUACGUGUGUGUCUAUAUACAUACGUGAUAUAUAUAUACGCGCGCGCGCGCGCGUAGCAAUAUUAUCUGAUACAUGAAAAGUUUGAUAUCAUCACCAGUGCACGAUUUUUUAUGCCCUUACAUCUCUCUCUCGCCAGAUACGGAGAUUAUUAUUAGUUAUUUAAAAGAUCAUUUAUUUUGUGGACAAGCUUAUCCCCUCUUACUUAAAUGCCAAACCUGCCCAAGUUGUCGUCAGUAAUUGAAUACUUUUUCUAGGGUAGAAAUCCUUGAUUUAAUAAAUUCAAAUACCUUGUCAUCGGUAAUUUAGUGUUGGGCUACAUUCUUGUCAGGACAAGCACAUUGCAGUGGAUUUUUACUUCGACGGAGAUCAUGUUACCAAGAAGUAUUUGCAAGUGGAGUGCAUAUCUUUUGUGAUGGAUGGUAGAUAUGAUGUUUAAGAAAAAAUGGCGACGUGGACGAUGAAUACCCACGUCUUUAAAAGGAUAAAAUCCCAAAGCAUUUUCCCGACAACUGCUAUAAUUAGUGACAAAUUGAUGUCAUAUUCUAACGAACAGUGGGUAUUAAAAGAGCUUGUUCAACAAUCACAAGACAUAUCUAAGCAAUUAGGUGGACUUGGUUGGCAAAGAUACAAGGAAAUAUUCAAAUAUAUUAAAAAUUCUAAUUACUUAGUUAUUAUUAUAAAUUGAAUAAGAUAGCAAUAUUUUGAUGGAUUCAUUAAUUUUUUUUUAUUAAAAUAGUUUAGUUCUUAUUGGCCGAGCUACCUUGAAUAAACCAAAAAACUUUAUUUUAUUUUAUUCAGAUCCAAUUACUAUGUAAUUCGAUCUUUUUUCCAUUCAAUGAAAGUUUCCAGCUCCACGCUUUAAUUCUCGGGUUUGUUAUAUCUUUCUGACAAGAAUUAGACUGCAGACAUUUCAGUUAACAUGCCCUUAAAAUCUUAUUGGAUUGAGGAGCGAAUUUUAUUAUAACAAAAUGGCCACAUUUCAAAAAUAGUAAGAAUCAUCUAUGUAUUUAUGCAUAAAUGAUACAAAAAAUAUAAAAAAAGGGAGGCGGGGGAGAGAAACCCGCAAGAAAACCAACUAGAUAGAAUUAAAUAUAGAAAACCCUAAAUAAUGUAGGUCAAUAAUUGAUCUCUUCAUUUACUAGUCUAGGUGUAUAGUUAUCCCACGUCUUUAUAAGGACAAGAUCCCAAAGCAUUUUCCGUACAACUGCUAUAAUUGAUUUUGUUUUCUCAAAGCUUACACUGUUUAUAGUUUGAUUACCUACGCAGCAAAAUGACACUCUUCGGUAAGAUGGAGGCUGAAGUAGAGAUCAAGGUUUCUGCUGAAACAUUUCAUGAUAUCUUCAGCUGCAGACCACACCACAUUUCCAAUAUGAGCCCUGCCAAGAUACAGAACGUUGAUCUCCAUGAAGGUGAAUGGGGGAAGCCGGGCACUGUAAUCUGCUGGAGUUAUGUACAUGGUAAGGCUGUGACGUCAUAGAUCAUCCCUGACCGAAAACAUAUUAUGGAUUGCACUGCUCCUUAAUCAUAUAUAUAUAUAUAUAUGAUUACUAACCAUAAGUUUACAUCAUAAUUAGUCUACAAUUUUGUUUAUUUCUUAGAUGGCUUAUAGCAUGAGGAAGUGACUUGGGUUAUUUUUGUAUACGCUCGAUUUGAUCAUUAAUUCUAGAUCAGCUAUGAUCAAUCCAUUGCUGUAGAAAUUUUAUGACUUUCUGGUUGAUGAAAGGUUAACCUCAUAUACAUUUUCAGAAACAAAUUAUUAUAAAGAGUAGCAUGACAUGUCAAGGCAGUGAUUCAUGAGUACUGACAUUUAAUUUAUUUUUUAUGUAAAAAACAUUAAUAGAUGGGGUCGCGAAGACUGCGAAGGAGGUUAUUGAAGCUAUAGACGAUGAGAAGCUGUCAACCACCUUCAAAGUGAUUGAAGGAGAAAUCACCACGGAGUACAAGAACUUCAUAAUUAUCGUUCAAGCUACUCCCAAGGGAGAGGGCAGCUGCUUGGUUCACUGGACUUUUGAAUAUGAGAAGCUAAAUGAGAACGUUCCAGAUCCUCAAACGUUGCUUGAGUUUUGCAUCCAUUGCAGCAAAGAAAUUGAGGAUCAUCACCUUACCCAGCUACCAAUAGCACAGGCAU